This 59-nucleotide transfer RNA is filed under the name Otolemur garnettii (small-eared galago). The record is from Rfam by way of RNAcentral. Lineage: Eukaryota; Metazoa; Chordata; Mammalia; Primates; Galagidae.
GUUGCUCAGUGGUUAGAGUGUUGGCCUUGUGCACCAGCAGUGGUAGGUUCAAACCUACC